UGCAAGUCGAACGAAGUAGCAAUACUUAGUGGCAGACGGGUGAGUAACAUGUAGGUAUCUACCCUUUGGCCUGGAAUAACACGAGGAAACUUGUGCUAAUACCGGAUAAGUCUUUACAGAGAAAGCUUUUUGCACCAUUGGAUGAGCCUGCACUUGAUUAGUUUGUUGGUGGGGUAAUGGCCUACCAAGACUUUGAUCAAUAGCUGAUUUGAGAGGAUGAUCAGCCACAUUGGGACUGAGACACGGCCCAAACUCCUACGGGAGGCAGCAGUGGGGAAUCUUGCACAAUGGAGGAAACUCUGAUGCAGCGAUGCCGCGUGAGUGAAGAAGGCCCUUGGGUUGUAAAGCUCUUUCGUCGGGGAAGAAAAUGACUGUACCCGAAUAAGAAGGUCCGGCUAACUUCGUGCCAGCAGCCGCGGUAAUACGAAGGGACCUAGCGUAGUUCGGAAUUACUGGGCUUAAAGAGUUCGUAGGUGGUUGAAAAAGUUGGUGGUGAAAUCCCAGAGCUUAACUCUGGAACUGCCAUCAAAACUUUUCAGCUAGAGUUUGAUAGAGGAAAGCAGAAUUUC
This 569-nucleotide ribosomal RNA is filed under the name uncultured marine bacterium. RNAcentral describes it as "bacterial SSU rRNA". It matches the Rfam family "Bacterial small subunit ribosomal RNA", at positions 56 to 670 of the family's 1533-position model. The record is from RNAcentral.